UCAACCAUGAAAGCCAAUGUAAAUGGAAAUACUUUAUUUCACUUCUACACAAUAACAAGCUGGGAAAGAAAGAAAAAAAAACCCCUCACAAACAUAUGACCAAAAGAGAAGCGCAAUAAAAAGCUACAAAACAACACGUAGUACUGACGACUGGUUAGUAAGUGGCAAAAAAACAAAAAAACGCUAACAGGCUUCUAAAGAGUCAUCAUCAUCAGCAUCAUCAUUUUAUCCAUUAAGAAAUUUGCAAAAAGAAAUGUUUGGACAUCAAGCACAACCAUGCCAGUUAAUAUUCAUAUUUUACAAGGUUCAUGUGGAUGGAUCCUUAAACAAAGAGUGAAGGCCAUCAUUGAACUUCAUCAUCAUCAGCAUCAUCAUCAUCAUCGUCAUCGUCAUGUUAGCUGUCAUAAAUGUUUGGUAAAAAGACGAUUGUUGUUUUUUUUUCUUCUUUUUUUCUUUUUAAUGAACACACCAAACCGGCUGGCAUUUACAAUGAAACAAUACAUUUCAAGAUCAGUGAGGAGACAUUAAAGUGGUGGUGGUAUUUUUGUCUUCUGUUUUUUGUUCUUUCUCUUUCUUGUCUUAUCCAUUAAGAAAUUUGCAAAAAGAAAUGUUUGGACAUCAAGCACAACCAUGCCAGUUAAUAUUCAUAUUUUACAAGGUUCAUGUGGAUGGAUCUUACACAAAGAGUGAAGGCCAUCAUCAUCAUCAUCAUCAUCAUCGUCAUCGUCAUGUUAGCUGUCAUAAAUGUUUGGUAAAAAGACGAUUGUUGUUUUUUUUUCUUCUUUUUUUCUUUUUAAUGAACGCACCAAACCGGCUGGCAUUUACAA
Hippocampus comes (tiger tail seahorse) is the source of this 827-nucleotide long non-coding RNA. RefSeq lists it as uncharacterized. The transcript has 2 exons. The record is from RefSeq and is a predicted model, not a curated record. Lineage: Eukaryota; Metazoa; Chordata; Actinopteri; Syngnathiformes; Syngnathidae.